RNAcentral lists this ribosomal RNA (680 nucleotides) under Acinetobacter baumannii OIFC083. RNAcentral's name for it is "bacterial SSU rRNA". It matches the Rfam family "Bacterial small subunit ribosomal RNA", at positions 28 to 702 of the family's 1533-position model. Lineage: Bacteria; Pseudomonadati; Pseudomonadota; Gammaproteobacteria; Moraxellales; Moraxellaceae. The record is from RNAcentral.
AUUGAACGCUGGCGGCAGGCUUAACACAUGCAAGUCGAGCGGGGGAAGGUAGCUUGCUACCGGACCUAGCGGCGGACGGGUGAGUAAUGCUUAGGAAUCUGCCUAUUAGUGGGGGACAACAUCUCGAAAGGGAUGCUAAUACCGCAUACGUCCUACGGGAGAAAGCAGGGGAUCUUCGGACCUUGCGCUAAUAGAUGAGCCUAAGUCGGAUUAGCUAGUUGGUGGGGUAAAGGCCUACCAAGGCGACGAUCUGUAGCGGGUCUGAGAGGAUGAUCCGCCACACUGGGACUGAGACACGGCCCAGACUCCUACGGGAGGCAGCAGUGGGGAAUAUUGGACAAUGGGGGGAACCCUGAUCCAGCCAUGCCGCGUGUGUGAAGAAGGCCUUAUGGUUGUAAAGCACUUUAAGCGAGGAGGAGGCUACUUUAGUUAAUACCUAGAGAUAGUGGACGUUACUCGCAGAAUAAGCACCGGCUAACUCUGUGCCAGCAGCCGCGGUAAUACAGAGGGUGCGAGCGUUAAUCGGAUUUACUGGGCGUAAAGCGUGCGUAGGCGGCUUAUUAAGUCGGAUGUGAAAUCCCCGAGCUUAACUUGGGAAUUGCAUUCGAUACUGGUGAGCUAGAGUAUGGGAGAGGAUGGUAGAAUUCCAGGUGUAGCGGUGAAAUGCGUAGAGAUCUGGA